UUUUAGGUUCGCUUGCAAAGACAAGUCGGAUUAUUGAGGCUUUACCAAAGAGUGCAUAUUGUUUCAUGGGAAUGAGAAGCAGAGAUAUACCAGACUCAGCUAUUACAGCUUCAUCGGUAUACGACGGAAAUCAUGAUGCGUAUGAUGGAAGGCUUGAUAACAGAAAAAAACAGGAGAUGUAGCAGCAUGGACGGUCCGGCAUAAUCGAAAGGGCGAAUGGCUUCAAGUAGACUUCGGAAGACCGAAACUAGUUGGUGGAAUAAUUACCCAAGGAAGACUGUAUGCUAGGGCAUGGGUAACGUCUUUCGCGAUUUCUUGUGGUCUCAGCACUAGUUCUCUGACUACCAUCCAAGAGCAUGGGGCACAAAAGAUAUUUACAGGUAACUCUGA
This is a non-coding RNA of Styela clava, 390 nucleotides long. Lineage: Eukaryota; Metazoa; Chordata; Ascidiacea; Stolidobranchia; Styelidae. The record is from RefSeq and is a predicted model, not a curated record.